GUGCCAGCAGCCGCGGUAAUACGGAGGGGGCUAGCGUUGUUCGGAAUUACUGGGCGUAAAGCGUACGUAGGCGGCUUUGUAAGUUAGAGGUGAAAGCCCGGGGCUCAACCCCGGAAUUGCCUUUAAGACUGCAUCGCUUGAAUCGCGGAGAGGUGAGUGGAAUUCCGAGUGUAGAGGUGAAAUUCGUAGAUAUUCGGAAGAACACCAGUGGCGAAGGCGGCUCACUGGACGCGUAUUGACGCUGAGGUACGAAAGCGUGGGGAGCAAACAGGAUUAGAUACCCGUGUAGUCC
Molecule: ribosomal RNA, 292 nt
Filed under: uncultured bacterium
Lineage: Bacteria
Description: partial 16S ribosomal RNA
Rfam family: Bacterial small subunit ribosomal RNA
Source: RNAcentral